GUCAUAUGCUUGUCUCAAAGAUUAAGCCAUGCAUGUCUCAGUACAAGCCAAAUUAAGGUGAAACCGCGAAAGGCUCAUUAAAUCAGUUAUGGUUCCUUAGAUCGUACCCACAAUUACUUGGAUAACUGUGGUAAUUCUAGAGCUAAUACAUGCAAAGAGCUCCGACCGGAGACGGAAGGAGUGCUUUUAUUAGAUCAAAACCAAUCGGUGGCGGGUUCGCUCGUCAUCGUACAACUUGGUGACUCUGAAUAACUUUACGCUGAUCGCACGGUCAUCGCACCGGCGACGCAUCUUUCAAAUGUCUGCCUUAUCAACUGUCGAUGGUAGGUUCUGCGCCUACCAUGGUUGUAACGGGUAACGGGGAAUCAGGGUUCGAUUCCGGAGAGGGAGCCUGAGAAACGGCUACCACAUCCAAGGAAGGCAGCAGGCGCGCAAAUUACCCACUCCCGGCACGGGGAGGUAGUGACGAAAAAUAACGAUACGGGACUCAUCCGAGGCCCCGUAAUCGGAAUGAGUACACUCUAAACCCUUUAACGAGGAUCAAUUGGAGGGCAAGUCKGGUGCCAGCAGCC
This 572-nucleotide ribosomal RNA is filed under the name Poropterus humeralis. RNAcentral describes it as "SSU rRNA". It matches the Rfam family "Eukaryotic small subunit ribosomal RNA", at positions 23 to 577 of the family's 1831-position model. Lineage: Eukaryota; Metazoa; Arthropoda; Insecta; Coleoptera; Curculionidae. The record is from RNAcentral.